UUGAUAAUUUAUCCUUAGGUAUCAUAAA
RNAcentral lists this small RNA (28 nucleotides) under Bombyx mori (domestic silkworm). RNAcentral describes it as "ovarian small RNA-37725". Lineage: Eukaryota; Metazoa; Arthropoda; Insecta; Lepidoptera; Bombycidae. The record is from RNAcentral.